GAGAGAGGCUAAAGCAGUAAGGACUGCUAAUCCCUACGUCCAUGGUUAA
Molecule: transfer RNA, 49 nt
Filed under: Megalechis personata
Lineage: Eukaryota; Metazoa; Chordata; Actinopteri; Siluriformes; Callichthyidae
Description: partial tRNA-Ser
Source: RNAcentral